Non-coding RNA from Desulfuromonas acetoxidans DSM 684, 183 nucleotides. It matches the Rfam family "6S / SsrS RNA". Rfam says of the family: E. coli 6S RNA was the first non coding RNA to be sequenced, but its function was unknown until recently. It consists of 184 nucleotides that fold into an extended hairpin structure with a large single-stranded internal bulge. Lineage: Bacteria; Pseudomonadati; Thermodesulfobacteriota; Desulfuromonadia; Desulfuromonadales; Desulfuromonadaceae. The record is from Rfam.
UGCUCUCUACGCGGCAGGUGAUAUCUAAACGCCCACGCGGAAUAAUUUUACAUCCGGGGUUCUUUUUCAGUGAUGAUGUGUGCCAGCCCUCCUCUGCAGAGGGACGCCUGAUUCGUCGCUCAGGAACCCCACCUAAUGGCUCUCGUUGUGAGGCCAAAGAUUCACGGCAGGCGUGGAGAGCUC